AUGGCGCCGCCGGCCUUGCUUCCUAGGGCGAGCGCGUUGCGGCCUCUUGCCCCAGCCUCUUCUUCUCCCCUCCGCGCGCACGUCGUCGCGGCCACCCCAACGCCCCGCACGCCGCCACGCACAGCGCGUCCCGUGUCGCUGCUCUGCACCCCGCUCAGCAACGUGGACGCCGCCGCCGCCGCCGGCGGCAGUGGCCCCGACAAGGAACCUUACCGGUGGCCGUGGGGAUACGAGGACCCUCCCGCGUACGUGGAGGAGGACAUCGUGGAAACCCAACUCAGGUUCGUGCGCGAGUCCGGGGAGGCGGUGGCUGCGCUCAAGGCCGCGGCCGCCGACGCGUGCCGUGCGCUCGUCGACAACUUCGGCGACAUCCGCACUCUCAAGACCAUCUACGACGUCGAGGACUACCACAUCGGCAUGCCAUUCGGUGUGCUUAUUGCAUGCAUUGGUUGCUAUCAACUGUGGAAGCUAGAUCCCUCGACAUUCCUAGAUGUUGUAUUGGGCUACGCAUUCUACAGGCUCAGUGUCAUGGGUUCACACAUCCGGAGACAGGGGUCCUCGAAUGAUUUGUUCGGACGCCUCAAGUUUGUUAUUGUCGUAAUCAUGGCUGUGAAAGAUUUCAGGAAAAAUCUCGCUCCCAUUGAUUUUAUCAGGACACCAGUUUAUGCCCUCUAUUCCAUAUCGUUCGUUCAUGACAUAAUUGGCCUGAAGAAGUAUGGAAAAUAUUAUUUCGCUGUGACCAUCGAACUACUAAAAACUAAGGAGGGCAGGUGCAAGCUAGCGAGUUUUUUCUAA
This 795-nucleotide ribosomal RNA is filed under the name Triticum aestivum (bread wheat). Its description in RNAcentral is "partial small subunit ribosomal RNA". Lineage: Eukaryota; Viridiplantae; Streptophyta; Magnoliopsida; Poales; Poaceae. The record is from RNAcentral.